RNAcentral lists this ribosomal RNA (362 nucleotides) under uncultured Sphingobacteriales bacterium. RNAcentral's name for it is "bacterial SSU rRNA". It matches the Rfam family "Bacterial small subunit ribosomal RNA", at positions 1021 to 1382 of the family's 1533-position model. The record is from RNAcentral. Lineage: Bacteria; Pseudomonadati; Bacteroidota; Sphingobacteriia; Sphingobacteriales.
UUCGGACAAUAUACAAGGUGCUGCAUGGUUGUCGUCAGCUCGUGCCGUGAGGUGUCGGGUUAAGUCCCAUAACGAGCGCAACCCCUAUCAUUAGUUGCCAUCAGGUCAAGCUGGGGACUCUAAAGGAACUGCCUACGCAAGUAGUGAGGAAGGCGGGGAUGACGUCAAAUCAGCACGGCCCUUACGUCCAGGGCUACACACGUGCUACAAUGGCCGAUACAGAGGGCAGCUACCUGGUGACAGGAUGCAAAUCUCCAAAGUCGGUCUCAGUUCGGAUCGGAGUCUGCAACCCGACUCCGUGAAGUUGGAUUCGCUAGUAAUCGCGCAUCAGCCAUGGCGCGGUGAAUACGUUCCCGGGCCUU